This 71-nucleotide transfer RNA is filed under the name Phrynosoma platyrhinos (Desert horned lizard). RNAcentral's name for it is "tRNA-OTHER". Lineage: Eukaryota; Metazoa; Chordata; Lepidosauria; Squamata; Phrynosomatidae. The record is from RNAcentral.
GCCAGUGUGGCACAGUGGUUUGAGUGCUGGACUUUGACUCUGGAGACCAGGGUUCAAUUCCUACUCAGUUA